GGCCGGGGUAGGCUGUCAUUGUAAAUAAUGAUUUGUUCUUAACUGACUUACCUAGUAAUUUUUUUUUUUUCAAAAACAGAUACACAAACAAAUAGGUAACGUUAAGUGGGCUCUCACUAUAAGAUGGCAUUAUGAAGGUAAACCCAGACCAAGACAGGGCCAAGCCAAACCCAGGCCAGACCCAGAACAGAACAGGCCAGGCACAGAACAAACCAAGCCAGACACAGACUGGGACAGACCAGUUAAUAAGACCCAGGCCAGAUCCAGGACCAACCAGGAUCGCUGGAGACGAGAAGAGGGUACAGGGAGUGAACAUUUAAUAACCAUGGACAGGAACAGAAUACAGACAGCGUCUGGACAGGGGAAACGGAAACGACAAUAAUUCUGACACGUGGAUGAAACAGAGGAAACAGACAUAUAUGGGGAAGGCAAUCAAAACGUGCAGGAGUCCUGACCAUUUCCGGAGACCUUCUCCCCUACCUCACCUCGCUCAUCAACUCAUCCUUGACCGCUGGCUACGUCCCUUCCGUCUUCAAGAGAGCAAGAGUUGCACCCCUUCUGAAAAAACCUACACUCGAUCCCUCCGAUGUCAACAACUACAGACCAGUAUCCCUUCUUUCCUUUCUCUCCAAAACUCUUGAACGCGC
RNAcentral lists this long non-coding RNA (647 nucleotides) under Salmo salar (Atlantic salmon). RNAcentral's name for it is "lncRNA (ENSSSAG00000117343.1)". The record is from RNAcentral. Lineage: Eukaryota; Metazoa; Chordata; Actinopteri; Salmoniformes; Salmonidae.